This 493-nucleotide long non-coding RNA is filed under the name Physcomitrium patens. RNAcentral's name for it is "long non-coding RNA (PPAT_LNC005025)". Lineage: Eukaryota; Viridiplantae; Streptophyta; Bryopsida; Funariales; Funariaceae. The record is from RNAcentral.
GAUUUGAUAGAAUUCCAUCGGAGUUUUAAUUAGAAUUAAAUUAGAACUUGAUCAAGAUUUAAUUAAGAUAUUUUUUGAUUAUUCUAAUAUUUCUAUAAGAUUUUUUAAGGAUUCUUUUUAGGUUCAUUGUGGAUUUCUUUUGAAUUCUUUUCAAAUUUCUUGUUGUUUUAUUUAUAAUUUCUUUAAGGUUUCUUUUGAAUUUGAUUAAAACUAAUUUAGUAUUAUUAAAUAUUUAAUUCAAGUUAUUUAAUAUUUUAUUAGAAUUAAAAUUUUAUUAUUGUAAUUUCCAUUCUAACUUCCAUAAUCACAUGCCGAGUGCAUUCUUGAGCAAGACUUUAUAUAAUACGACAAUGUGAGAUUUUUAUUCUUAGAAUGUUGACAAGUUCAUAAAGAUUUAAAAUAAUUACAAAUAUAUUUUUACUUUUGUUGAAAAUAAUAUCCAUAAUCUUUCCUUCCAUAGACAACUUAAACAACUUUAAAAAAUAAAAUUAAA